AGGACGAACGCUGGCGGCGUGCUUAACACAUGCAAGUCGAGCGGAAAGGCCCUUCGGGGUACUCGAGCGGCGAACGGGUGAGUAACACGUGAGUAAUCUGCCCCUAGCUCUGGGAUAGCUCCGGGAAACCUGGAUUAAUACUGGAUACGACCACCUUAGACAUCUUUUGUGGUGGAAAGAAUUUCGGCUAGGGAUGAGCUCGCGGCCUAUCAGCUUGUGGUGGGUAACGCCUACCAAGGCGACGACGGGUAGCCGGCCUGAGAGGGCGACCGGCCACACUGGGACUGAGACACGGCCCAGACUCCUACGGGAGGCAGCAGUGGGGAAUAUUGCGCAAUUGGCGAAAGCCUGACGCAGCGACGCCGCGUGGGGGAUGAAGGCCUUCGGGUUGUAAACCCCUUUCAGCAGGGACGAAGCGAAAGUGACGGUACCUGCAGAAGAAGCGCCGGCUAACGUACGCGCCAGCAGCCGC
This 472-nucleotide ribosomal RNA is filed under the name uncultured bacterium. RNAcentral describes it as "SSU rRNA". It matches the Rfam family "Bacterial small subunit ribosomal RNA", at positions 26 to 518 of the family's 1533-position model. The record is from RNAcentral.